This 360-nucleotide long non-coding RNA is filed under the name Gallus gallus (chicken). RNAcentral's name for it is "lncRNA (ENSGALG00010004664.1)". The record is from RNAcentral. Lineage: Eukaryota; Metazoa; Chordata; Aves; Galliformes; Phasianidae.
UACGAGUUGAAAAAUACUGACAGAGAGCAGUGGACCAUAAUGGACUGUCUGCCUGUUUUGUUUGUUUGCUGCUUGCACAUUGGGUUAAAGGUAAAGGGGCACUGGAGUCACGGUGAUUUCCUGAAGGAGGAGGAAGAUGGAUCCUUCCUGUGGAAACAUCUGGGCACAGCUGGAGAGCAACAGUUCCAGCAACUGGAGCACGGGGGAGAGGAGCAGGGAAUCUCAGGCAGAGACGGUCAAGAGGGGCAGGGAACAUCCACGGGAUAAACACGGGCUUCACACGAAAGCAUUUAACCUCUCCUUAUAACUCUGGAGAACUGAGCGUGAGCAUAACCUGGAUGGGGGCCAUCUGAGAGCACA